RNAcentral lists this ribosomal RNA (1220 nucleotides) under Staphylococcus sp. FXY54. Its description in RNAcentral is "bacterial SSU rRNA". It matches the Rfam family "Bacterial small subunit ribosomal RNA", at positions 148 to 1354 of the family's 1533-position model. Lineage: Bacteria; Bacillati; Bacillota; Bacilli; Caryophanales; Staphylococcaceae. The record is from RNAcentral.
UUCGGGAAACCGGAGCUAAUACCGGAUAAUAUUUUGAACCGCAUGGUUCAAAAGUGAAAGACGGUCUUGCUGUCACUUAUAGAUGGAUCCGCGCUGCAUUAGCUAGUUGGUAAGGUAACGGCUUACCAAGGCAACGAUGCAUAGCCGACCUGAGAGGGUGAUCGGCCACACUGGAACUGAGACACGGUCCAGACUCCUACGGGAGGCAGCAGUAGGGAAUCUUCCGCAAUGGGCGAAAGCCUGACGGAGCAACGCCGCGUGAGUGAUGAAGGUCUUCGGAUCGUAAAACUCUGUUAUUAGGGAAGAACAUAUGUGUAAGUAACUGUGCACAUCUUGACGGUACCUAAUCAGAAAGCCACGGCUAACUACGUGCCAGCAGCCGCGGUAAUACGUAGGUGGCAAGCGUUAUCCGGAAUUAUUGGGCGUAAAGCGCGCGUAGGCGGUUUUUUAAGUCUGAUGUGAAAGCCCACGGCUCAACCGUGGAGGGUCAUUGGAAACUGGAAAACUUGAGUGCAGAAGAGGAAAGUGGAAUUCCAUGUGUAGCGGUGAAAUGCGCAGAGAUAUGGAGGAACACCAGUGGCGAAGGCGACUUUCUGGUCUGUAACUGACGCUGAUGUGCGAAAGCGUGGGGAUCAAACAGGAUUAGAUACCCUGGUAGUCCACGCCGUAAACGAUGAGUGCUAAGUGUUAGGGGGUUUCCGCCCCUUAGUGCUGCAGCUAACGCAUUAAGCACUCCGCCUGGGGAGUACGACCGCAAGGUUGAAACUCAAAGGAAUUGACGGGGACCCGCACAAGCGGUGGAGCAUGUGGUUUAAUUCGAAGCAACGCGAAGAACCUUACCAAAUCUUGACAUCCUUUGACAACUCUAGAGAUAGAGCUUUCCCCUUCGGGGGACAAAGUGACAGGUGGUGCAUGGUUGUCGUCAGCUCGUGUCGUGAGAUGUUGGGUUAAGUCCCGCAACGAGCGCAACCCUUAAGCUUAGUUGCCAUCAUUAAGUUGGGCACUCUAAGUUGACUGCCGGUGACAAACCGGAGGAAGGUGGGGAUGACGUCAAAUCAUCAUGCCCCUUAUGAUUUGGGCUACACACGUGCUACAAUGGACAAUACAAAGGGCAGCGAAACCGCGAGGUCAAGCAAAUCCCAUAAAGUUGUUCUCAGUUCGGAUUGUAGUCUGCAACUCGACUACAUGAAGCUGGAAUCGCUAGUAAUCGUAGAUCAGCA